UCUAAAACUGGAGGGGUAGCCUGUUUUCUCUCUUUCUGUCUAUAUAAUAUAUCACAAACAGGGAGCAGACAUAGGGUGACAGAAUUGUGUGUUCCCAGGAAAGCUGGUGGGGGAAAAAAAAGAAAAGAAGUAAGAUUACAGGCAGGGCCUCACUCUGUCAUCCAGGCUGGAGUGCCGUGGCGUGAUCUCGGCUCACUGCAAUCUCUGCCUCCCAGGUUCAAGCGAUUCUCACACCUUGGCCUCCCAAGUAGCUGGCAUUACAGGCAUGUACCACCACGUAUGGCUAAUUUUUGUAUUUUUAGUAGAGACGAGUUUUCACCAUGUUGGCCAGGCUGGUCUCAAACUUCCGGCCUCAAAUAAUCCAUCCACUUCAGCCUCCCACAGUGCUGGGAUUACAGACGUGAGCAACCGUGCCCAGCCCCUAAGUAAAUUCUUAUACUGACAACUGGAUAAUAUGAUUCAGAAUGUAAUCAAAAUAUAAGUCCAACUGAUGCAAAUGAAAUAAACGUCCAAGAAGUCAGUGA
Molecule: long non-coding RNA, 524 nt
Organism: Gorilla gorilla gorilla (western lowland gorilla)
Lineage: Eukaryota; Metazoa; Chordata; Mammalia; Primates; Hominidae
Exons: 2
Source: RefSeq, a predicted model, not a curated record